GAAACUUUUUUUUUGGUUGGGAGGUAGAAGAGGUUAGAAAGACCUAGGUUUGAUAUCAUGACUUUAGCUAAGUAACUUAAAUUUGGUGAACUUCAUUUUCGGCUCUAGAAAGAUGGGGUUGAUAAUACCCACGUCAAAAGGUUGUUUGGAGAAUCAAAUCAUAUAUAUGAAAAGCAAAAUGCCUACUGUAGUUCCUGGGGAAUUGUUAGUUGUUCCCAUCCCGUGCAUCUUCUCUAUUACAGUGGGCGUCUGUGUACAUUCUUGCUCAGUGUCUACGCUGUUCUCCUCUAUCUUCUCUAUUAUAGUGACGUCUGUGUACAUUCUACCUCAGCGUCUACGCUGUUCUCCUCUAUCUUCUCUAUUACAGUGGGUGUCUGUGUACAUUCUUUCUCAGCGUCUACACUAUUCUCUAUCUUCUCUAUUACAGUGGGCGUCUGUGUACAUUCUUGCUCAGCAUCUACGCUGUUCUCCAUCUUCUCUAUCACAGUGGGCGUCUGUUUACAUUCUUGCUCAGCGUCUGCGCUGUUCUCCAUCCUCUGUAUCACAGUGGACGUUUGUGUACAUUCUUGCUCAGCGUCUACGCUGUUCUCCUCUAUCUUCUCUAUUACAGUGGGCGUCUGUGUACAUUCUCGCUCAGCGUCUACACUGUUCUCUACUCUAUUACAGUGGGCAUCUGUGUACAUUCUUGCUCAGCGUCUACACUGUUCUCCUCUGUCUUCUCUAUCACAGUGGACAUCUGUGUACAUACUUGCUCAGCGUCUACACUGUUCUCUAUCUUCUCUAUUACAGUGGACGUCUGUGUACAUUCUACCUCAGCGUCUAUGCUGUUCUCCUCUACUCUAUCACAGUGGGUGUUUGUGUACAUUCUUGCUCAGAGUCUACACUGUUCUCUUCUAUCUUCUCUAUUACAGUGGGCGUCUGUGUACAUUCUACCUCAGCGUCUACGCUGUUCUCCUCUAUCUUCUCUAUUACAGUGGACAUCUGUGUACAUUCUUGCUCAGAGUCUACACUGUUCUCUAUCUUCUCUAUUACAGUGGGCGUCUGUGUACAUUCUUGUUCAGCAUCUACGCUGUUCUCCAUCUUCUCUGUUACAGUGGCUGUCUGUGUACAUUCUCGCUCAGCAUCUAUGCUGUUCUCUUCUAGGAAUAGCAUCUCCGUGUUUACUUUGUUUAACUUCCACCUUGGAUAAAGCCUUGGUGUCAUUGUCAAUCAAGAUCUCCUGGUAAGCAUCCACCCCACCAAGCCAGCGAAUCAGGUGUGCUCUUCUGAAUUUUGUACGUGACAAGAUAUUGGAAAUGUGUCAAACGUUGUCCUGAAGGGAGGGAGUAUCCAGUAAUUUCUGUUUAGAGCCCUGUAACUGCUCUAAGCCCUCACAGUAAAUACUUUUUUCAAAACAAAACAAAACUUAAAAUAGCCUGGUUGGCUGUAUACCAAAGUUCCCUGUUUGGUGCACUGAAUUGGAAAUAAUUCCACAAGCAGAUGCAUUCAUUUGUUUAAUCCAAGAAUUAUUAAGUGAUUUCCUUAUUCUUUAUAUAUCCAGUGUGAGGUGCUGAGUGCAUUCAUAGAAGAGAAAUAUCAGGUUCCCUGUCCCUGGGGUGUGCUCAGCUCAGUGACUUCACAGAGGGCACGUGAUCUUAGAGUAGUAGCAGACGUGGAGCAUAGCCUGAGGCACAAUCCCAGACUGAAUUUUGUAUUAGGUAUAGUGACAGUUAAUCUAACUCUAAAAACAUCAGUUAUGGACAUAAGGAUGGGAACAGUAGGUACUGGGACUACUAGAGGGGGAAGAGGGGAUGGGGGCAAGGGCUGAAAAACUACCCAUUGGGUACUAGGCUCACCCCCUGGGUGAUGGAGUCAUUUCUACCCCAAGCCUCAGCGCCACACUACAUACCCAUGUAUCGAGCCUGUGGAUGUACCCCCGAAUCUAAAAUAGAAGUUGAAAUUAUAAGCAAAAAUUUACAUUAAAAAACCCUUUAAUGCCCAUUAGUUACUUAUAAUCUGUUUAAAGAAUAGCCAGUUGCUCUCAGCCUUUUCAUUUGUUUCAUUAAUUGCAUCUGUUUAUUUACUCAGUCUGGUCAAGAAAAAUACCCUUAAUCGUUUAUAUUAAAAAGUAGGUGCCACUAUAAAAUUCUAAGCUUUUGCUGAAAAUCGUGACCUUUGAUUGUUCAUACUGGUAAUUUAUUUCUCAUUUUUAUGUUGCAAUUACAACAUUCAAAGCAGUAGACUAAGAUCUAAUGAUUUAGAAGCACCAGAGGCAUUGCUGGGCCAGGAUGACAAGCCUUUAAUGACUCUCUUAGGCAGUAAAAAAGCCACUGCAAUUGCUGUAUGAAUAUUCAUUUAAGAAGCAUUCAUUGGUUGUAAAUCUUUUAACAUGUAGACUUUAAAAAAGAUGAAUAACAUACUAUGUACCCCGGUCAUUCUUAUUGAAUGUGUCUUCAGAUAUUUUUUAUCAAAUUCAUUUUACUGCUCUUUUUGCUUAUGAAAAUAAAAUAGUAUUUCAUUAGUUGAGCUCAUUUGAAUAUUAGAAAUAAACAGAGUUCAUAUCAUGUGAAAUUGCUGACAGCUCUUAAAAUCAGUCCUGCACUUUGCCCAGAGGCAUUAUUCACAUUGCUGGUUACAUCUGUUCUUGGGAAAGAGAACCUGCCUUGACUGUGAAUGGGGGUCCAGUUUGCCCCAGGUUUAGUCCCUGUGAUACUCAGCAAAUGUUGCCUGGUUCUUUACUAAAUAUGGCUACCCUGUGAUGAGAAGCUUUGGGCUGAUUGGGCCUUAUUUGUCUUCUUUUCUCUUACUGGGAAAGCAAAGACUGCUGAACAUAACUGAUGUCAGAAUGGGCCCGUGUUAGCUAUAUACUGUGUACAGGUCAAGCACAUAACUAUUAAUAGUAAAAAUCAACUUAGACAGGGGAACGGGAUUCAGAUCCAGCAGUUUUAUCCUAGCCCACACUCUUAACCACAAUUACAAUGGCAAACAAAUAAAUAUUUUUAAUUGUAUGCAGUAUGAUUUAGUAUUGGAAAGACUGUUUAAAUUUUUUAAAUAGACUUUAAAUUUUAGAAAGUGUAGAUAUACAGCAAAAUUGUGAAUAGUACAGAGUGUUCCCCUAUAUAUUCUGUACCCAGUUUUCCCUAUUGACACCUUAUAUUAGUAUGGUGCAUUAUUACAAUUAAUGAACCAAUAUUGAUAUACUGGUACUAACUAAAGUCCAUACUUUAUUCAGAUUCCCUUGGAUUUUACCCAGUGUCUGUACCAGUAUGCCACACAGGAUACCACGUUAUUUUUGGUCCUUGUGUUGCUUUAGGCUUCUCUUGGUACAGUUUUUCAUACUUUCUUUGUUUUUGAUGAUCCUUGACAGUUUGGAGGAAUAUUAUUGGUCAGGUAUUUUGUAGAACGUACCUUACGUGGAAAGAAGGUAAUACCUGUCUGAAUUUUUUUUCAUGAUUAGAGUGGAGUUACGGAUUUUGGGGAGGAAGACCACAGAGAUAAAGUGCCGUUUUCAUUACAUCCUACCUGGAAUAUGCUCUAUUGACUUGACUUGUUGAUUUUGACCUUGAUCACCUAGCUGAGGUCGCGUUUGUCAGCCUUCGCCACUGCAGAGCUCCUCCUUUUCCCUUCCACACUGUCCUCGUCACAGGGACGUCACUAGGCACCACCCAGACCUAAGGAGAGGGGAGCCACGUUCCACCUCCUUGAAGGAGGAGUAUUUAAUAUGUAAAUUAUUUGGAAUUCCUCUGAACAGGAGAUUUGUCUUUUAUUUAUAUCAGUAUGUAUUCGUACACAAUUUAUUUUAUAUCUCUAGUUAUAAUCCAAUACUACUUUAUGUUCUUGCCCAAAAUAUUCUAACUUUUGGCCGCAGGGAACUUUUUCAGUUGAUUUCUGUGUCCGUUUGACAUAUCCUCAUCAUUGCAGAGUUGUUUUUUUUUUUCUUUAGCACCUCCUCACUUUCUGGCACUACAAGAUGCUUCAGGCUUAUUUUUUAUGUUUCCUGCUCAUAUCCUAGAAGCAGCCAUUUCUUCAAUGUGCCCUGUUUUCUUUUAUUGGAGAAUAGUUUUAGAAAUUGGAGAAUUUAGAAAUUGGAGAAUAGUUUUAGAAAACAAGAUUGGGCACUAUUUAUGUUUAUUGCUAAUGAGUUUUCUUUGCUUCUAGGCCCUAUGAAAGUUUUAACUUUUAAAUUUUUUAAGCUGCUUGAGCUGCUAUACUAAGCAACUAUUUCUGUAAAUGUUGGUGGCCAAAAGUGUUAAAUAAAUAGUUUAAAAUUUGUUUUUCAUUGGGGAAAGAAUGUUGUAUUGUAGUUACAGUUGAGAAUUGCCAAAAAUAAAAUUUAAAAAGAACAAUACUUAGAAGAACAUUUCUAAAAACAUUUCUUAGAAUUGUAUAAUUGUCUCAGUCAACUUGCUUUUAUUAUUUUUCAAGAUAAUUUUUAAUGAUUUUAUACAAAGCAGUGAUUCCCUGGGUAAUGAUUGUGAAGAUUUUGCCUUUUGUGCUUCUCUUUUACAGUGGAUUUUUCAUUUAUUUAACUUGGAUUAGAAUUAGAAAUGCAAAUACGUCAGCAAUUGAAUUUACCCCUUGGAAUCUUGCUUUUUGCUGGACAUUUACUAUCUGAAUUACACAAAGGAAAAAAGACAAGGAGCAGUGUCUGUACCCAGGAGUUAUUGUCUAGUAGUUAAUAACAAGCACUGUACAAGCAUUGAUCAGUCAAAACAGGAAAUUUAGAAACAACCAGGAGACCAUAUCAGAUGUAUUCUGGGCAAAUAUCACCCCUGCCCAGGCCUAAAGAACUGCCAAAAAUCUUUAAAAUAUUGGCUUAUAAAUAAUGUGAAGUAGAAAAAAAAUUUAAACAUGACAUCUCAGUGAUAUUUCUGCAAAGGGAGGUUUUUUUUUAAAUAAAGAAGUGACAGUAAAAUUGAUUUUCACUAGCUUUAAAGACAGUAUCAUCCUCUGUAUCGUAAGAUAUUACUCUGAGAAACACCCCUUCAUUCUUUCAGGUGAAAGGCAGCCUAUUAUCACAGGCAGCCAACCACUGCAACAGCUGGUAUUGACAAAGGCUCUGACCCCUUUUGGUUAAAAAUGAAGCAAAAAUCUGAGUGUUCGUAGGGCUUCCUAACCUCCGGUUGAGCUAUAUGUAAGAACCCUUCACCCAUUAUAAUAAUCCAGGUAUGCGAUGUUGUAUUACAGUGACCUGCAGGGUCAUGACUUAGUGAGAGGCAUUCUUUGUCAACACAGGGAAAGUUAACACAGAAGGUAAAAUUUAGAAGAAAGGUGAAUGGUUAUAAUAUUCUUUCAGUGCGUGUGUGUGUGUGUGUGUGCGCGCGUGCACGCACAUUUGUGUGUAUAUAUUUGUAUAUUCCUUCAGCAACAUGUCAUAUGGUCUAGGAAUCCCUGGGCGAUUUCUGGUUUUGGAGAAUAGGAUGUGAAUGUACCUCUGAAACUGACAGAAUGAUGUAUUACCUUGUAGGUCACUGGAGUAGAGUCCAGAUGUGCUUAAGCAUUUAUGAAAAGUUACCUAUUGUCACAGAGGCCCCGUACCACAUGAGUCCUGUGAGACUUUAAAGGAAAUCUAACCAAAAUUGAACUCUAUUUCAGCACUGGCUUGCGUGAACAUGAUUUAGAAUGCUUUGCUGCUUUUGCCAUUUUGGUGUACGUUUGAAUAAAAGGGAAAGCUUGAAAGGGGACACAAAGGUAAGAAAGAAAAGAAGGCCUAGAAUUAAAGAGGGAGAAAAAGAAGCGUGAGUACCCGGAGAGCUGCGAGGACGAUAGCAGCCGUCUGCGGCUCGGAAGAACUGAUUGUAGAUCUACAGGAAGUGUGCUGUUGUGCUGCUGGCGGAGGCCGUCCCUGAGGAAGUAGGAGAAGACCACUAGGGCUGUGUCUAAGGUAACUGUAAGGCCUCUCCAUCCUUUCUGCUGAUUAUGACUAGCAGCUAAUUUGGAUCUGAUUUAUACUGUGGGGAAGAAGCUUGGAGAGAAACGUGGGGUGCCAGUGUGAUGGGGGUGGGUCAGUGAAUGGCGGCUUGCUGUCUCUGUAGAUCAGGCCACAAGGCCACUGCUGGGGCUGCCUCUUUUGUCGUAGGGACUUAGUCUAGAGUUUUAUUGAAGGGUACGUAAAAGAUCAUACAAAUAAACAUAUUCUGAAGAAUACAUUCAUCAGUACAGUCUAAUUUAAAUCUCCAGAUAGUUGGUAAUUUUGCUUUUUAUGGACAAGUCUUUUCAUCGAACUAUUUCUAUUUCUAUGUGAUCUUGUUGUAUUUUAAAUGUUAAUUUAUUCUUCCAAUCUCUUCUUCCUUACUUUCAUCCCAGAAUUUUUUCAGAUCUGUAUGUUUCUACCAAUGUGGCUCUCAGGUUGUCCCUAAUUUGUCAGAGGCUGUAGUACCAUAUUUUCUUAACUGGUAGUAAACAAGAUAUGACGAUAAAUGGGACCUAAGGAUACUUCUAAUGAGGAAUACUUUUGUCUUCACAUGUUUUAUUGGGUUUAACUAGAAUGUAGAAUGAAAAACAAUAUGACUUCUCUGUUUUCUUAGCAUAUUUUGUUCUUAAUUUGGCUGUACUUAUUAGAACUCCUCCAAGAUUUCCUAUAAUCAUUACAUUAAAAGCCUUCAUUAUCAAUUGAAAUGCAUCUUUUGUAACUACAUUUCUUUUUUUUUUUUGACUUUACCUUUUACCUUUUUAAAAGCAAUGAAUGCAUUACUCUUGCCAAGAAAAUGUAAAGAUCCCAGGAGGACUUACUGUUCUCCUUUUUCCCUAGAGAGAGCUAAUCUCAAGUUCACUCUUUUUUUAUUAAUAGUUGGAUUGAGAUACAUUUAGUCUCAUAUUUACUCUUUAAAGAAUAUGUAAUCAUUACAAUCAUUACUAAUUUUAUUUCUUUUCCCUUAACCCUUUUAAAGUUAUAAGGAAAUAAUACUGCAUUUUAACAUUGAUAGGUACCGUAAUUUUGGAUUUUAUUUUAUUGUAGCAUUUACAUUAACUGCGAAUCUUGGCUUUAAAAAAGCCACACAUAGGUUAGGCACAGUGGCUCACGCCUGUAAUUCCAGCACUUUGGGAGGCUGAGGUAGGAGGAUCGCUUCGGCCCAGGAGUUCGACACCAGCCUGGGCAACACAGCAAGACUUCAUCACUACAAAAGAAAAAUUAAAAAUGAGCCAGGUUAUUUUGGAGCUUUAACAUUUAACAACUGCCCUGCUGGGUUCCAAAGUUGCAGGAGUUCUGUAGCCCCUUUCUUUUUGCCAAUUUCUUCAAUUAAACCUCUUUUCUUAUAAAUUAAAAAAGUAAAUAAGUAAAUAAAAUAAAAAAUAGCUGAGCAUGAUGGCACAUGCCUGUGGUUCCAGCUGCUUGGGAGGCUGAGGAAGGAGGAUCGCUUGAGCUCAGGUAUUCAAGGCUACAGUGAGCUAUAAUAAUACCACUGCACUCCAGCCUGGGUGACAGAGUGACACCUUGUUUCAACAACAGCAACAAAAACAACAACAAAAGCCACACAUAGCCUCUUCUGUAUCCAACUUUUAAGUGAAAGUUCUUAAGAUCUUCAAUGUAUGAUUCUUAAUUUUUUCCGUAAUAACAACACUCCAGUGUUUUCAGAUGUUUCAGAUUGUAUCUGUUUUUGUGCAGUGGUUCUCAAACUUCAAGGUGCAUCAGAAUAACCGAUUGCUGAAGUUUCUCAUUUAUUAGGACUGGGUGGGACUCAACUGCAUUUGAACAAGUUCCUGACUUACUGAUGCUGUUGGUCCGUGGCCAUACUUCAGGAAUGACUGUGUUAUCAUAUUUGAUUCUUCGAGAAUCCAGUGAGAUCUUGGGCAGAUACAGAUAGGGAAAAUGAAGCUUGAAGACAUUUGUGAUCUUUUUCCAGCGACACAUCAUGAAUUAAUGGUUGAACAGGUACCAGAACCCAUGAAGACCUUUCUGGUUUUCUCCUGCUCAUGGCAAGAGUUCAGUUCCCAAAAGACAUCUCUCUGAUUUCAAAUAUGUUUGAUCUUUUUGUCUUAUUCUUUUAAGAGCUAUUCAUGUGUUUGGAUACACACCCCUAAUAUUCACAUUUAUUUAUAAUAUAUGCUUAAAAUUUUCUUGUCUUUCAGUUACAUGACUAAUUUUUGUGCCUAGAGAUGUUCUAAAAAUGCAGUGUCUUUCUGAAGAAACAAAACCUUACAUAACUUGUCAAGGCCACCCAAGGUUAAUCAUGAGGAAAAACGUUGAAUUUUUUUACCCACCAGCCUAGUCUUCUGGCAUUUUUUCACUCUAGCUUGCGGUGAUGGUUCUAGGCAGGACCAUUAUUUGUGGGUCCACCAAACGAGGAAUGAUCCAAAACAAAGAAUCUCAAAACCACAUCACCAGACCCUCGCAGAAGGGCCCUGUACUGAUUUCAAGGAUACUUUUAUAUUUUGCUGCUUCCAUGGAGAACUGAUAGUUGGUCUUUAAUUGGUACCAAAACAUUGAAACUCCUGCGUGUAAGGCAGUGACAUACAGAAUGCACCGUGAGGUGCGUUUUCUCCGUCUUCCCCUCAGUUUCUCUCUGAACUACCUUAGGGUAUUCAGUAUGUGGAGCAUGUGGACUAGUGUCUUGAACCCGGUGUCAGCCAUCCAUCAGGAUUUACCUGUUGAAUAUUGCAUGGUAAGCUUUGCUAGUAUAGUGAGGAAGUGCUGUAUGCUUUUCUGAUACUGGCUUUUCUAGUUCCUACCUCUCAUUUUCUCUUGCUUUCCUUCUUCUGUUCUACUUUGAUGUUGGGGCCCCUGAAAUACCUUAAUCCAAAAUAGAAGUCGGGAGGGAAAAAAUGAUAGCUGGAGAACAAGGUGAAAAUCUUGACCUCGACUAUCUUCUAUUAUUUAGUAUAGUGUUGGCUUUUUGUGUGUGAGUUGGGGAGGGGGACAAAGAAAAUCAUGAUUUUUAAAAAAUUUAGUCUAAUUGAGUAGUAAUUUAAAUCAGUGAGCUUUAGCGACUCCCCUACUUCCCAUGCUUCCUUUUUUUUUUUUUUUUUUUUUUUUGAGACAGAGUCUUACUCUGUCACCUAGGUUGGAGUGCAAUGGCACGAUCUUGGCCCACUGCAACCUCUGCCUCCCGGGUUCAAGCGAUUCUCCUGCCUCAGCCUCCCGAGUAGCUGGGACUACAGGUGCCUGCCACCACGCCUGGCUAAUUUUUGUAUUCUUAGUAGAGACGGGGUUUCACCAUAUUGGCCAGACUGGUCUCGAACUCCUGACCUUGUGAUCCACCCUCCUUGGCCUCCCAGAGUGUUGGGAUUACAGGCGUGAGCCACCGCGCCCGGCCUCCCAUGCUUUCUAAUGCUGAAAUAAAACUCUUAAGUAUA
This is an RNA transcript of Homo sapiens (human), 9273 nucleotides long. RefSeq lists it as uncharacterized. The record is from RefSeq and is a predicted model, not a curated record. Lineage: Eukaryota; Metazoa; Chordata; Mammalia; Primates; Hominidae. The transcript is spliced from 2 exons.